GUGGGAGGAAAAGGAGGAAGGGAAUGAAGUAACGCAGCAGUGGGAAGAUGAUUGGGAUGAUGAUGAUGUCAACGAUGACUUCUCUCUGCAGCUGAGGAGGGAACUGGAGAACAAUGCCGAGAAAAACUGAGCUGAGCUGAGCUGAGCUGAGUAACUUGUCAUUGUUGCGUGUCAUAUCUUCCUAUUCUGUUGUCACUUGAAGAUGGCGAGUUUCAAAUCUUUUGUAUGCAAAAGAACUUGUGAACUAUUAACAAUAUUCUUAGAAGCUCAGUGCAAUUUGUUAAGUGCAGAACCCAUAUGGUUUUGUUAAUUCCGAUCUUUUUCAAGAGUUUAAUAACUGCCAAAGAAUCAUUUCAACUUUUCGUGCACUGAUUUU
RNAcentral lists this long non-coding RNA (376 nucleotides) under Citrus maxima (pomelo). RNAcentral's name for it is "long non-coding RNA (CMAX_LNC002083)". The record is from RNAcentral. Lineage: Eukaryota; Viridiplantae; Streptophyta; Magnoliopsida; Sapindales; Rutaceae.